Long non-coding RNA from Triticum aestivum (bread wheat), 568 nucleotides. RefSeq lists it as uncharacterized. Lineage: Eukaryota; Viridiplantae; Streptophyta; Magnoliopsida; Poales; Poaceae. The record is from RefSeq and is a predicted model, not a curated record. The transcript is spliced from 2 exons.
AUCUUGAGCCCAAGAACAGUGUUACUGCCAUUUAACGCCGCGAUGUUUUAGCUCCAGGAAUUUGGACCCUCCUGCGAUAAGAAUCAGUUGAAAAGUCAAUCAAAAGUCUUAUUGGCACUUCUUGCUGCUACUACAUUCAUGAUGACCACUGUGUCAAGCCUUCCAAGUAUCUGCUCUCCUGAUGUUUACACAAGGGAGACGCUACUAAGGAAGCAGAACAUGGAGAAGUUUUCUUGAUGUUUACACAAGGGAGAUGAUACUAAAGAAGCAGAUCGUGAAGAAGUUUCAAUGAAUUAGAGAGUUAUAGAUGCCAGCUGGUCCUCUACAUAUCUGUUACCUGAUAAAAAUAAGAAAAAUGCAUGUGCUGCAUUCAUUAAGGCUAAUAGCUCUCAAUUUUGCCAAUGGUAAUGGGCUGUUGGGUAUCAACCGAAUGACAAUAGUGGCCUGAGGGGUGGUAACAUGGUUGCCUCUUGCGGAAUAGCCAUUUAGAUAUUAUUUUGUUGUGUAAUCUUAAUCUCCAUCCAAAUCAUAUUUAAUUUGUAUGUUAAUCUUCUCCUGGUGGAACGCA